RNAcentral lists this ribosomal RNA (255 nucleotides) under uncultured bacterium. RNAcentral's name for it is "partial 16S ribosomal RNA". It matches the Rfam family "Bacterial small subunit ribosomal RNA", at positions 524 to 776 of the family's 1533-position model. The record is from RNAcentral.
UACGGGGGGAGCAAGCGUUGUUCGGAUUUACUGGGCGUAAAGGGCGCGUAGGCGGUCGUGACAAGUCACUUGUGAAAUCUCCGGGCUUAACUCGGAACGGUCAAGUGAUACUGUCGGACUAGAGUACAGAAGGGGCAACUGGAAUUCUCGGUGUAGCGGUGAAAUGCGUAGAUAUCGAGAGGAACACCUGCGGCGAAGGCGGGUUGCUGGGCUGACACUGACGCUGACAGCGCGAAAGCUAGGGGAGCGAACGGG